RNAcentral lists this ribosomal RNA (253 nucleotides) under uncultured bacterium. Its description in RNAcentral is "partial 16S ribosomal RNA". It matches the Rfam family "Bacterial small subunit ribosomal RNA", at positions 524 to 776 of the family's 1533-position model. The record is from RNAcentral.
UACGAAGGGGGCUAGCGUUGCUCGGAAUCACUGGGCGUAAAGCGCACGUAGGCGGAUUGCUAAGUCAGUGGUGAAAUCCUGGAGCUCAACUCCAGAACUGCCUUUGAUACUGGCGAUCUCGAGUCCGGGAGAGGUGAGUGGAACUGCGAGUGUAGAGGUGAAAUUCGUAGAUAUUCGCAAGAACACCAGUGGCGAAGGCGGCUCACUGGCCCGGUACUGACGCUGAGGUGCGAAAGCGUGGGGAGCAAACAGG